Molecule: ribosomal RNA, 464 nt
Filed under: uncultured bacterium
Lineage: Bacteria
Description: bacterial SSU rRNA
Rfam family: Bacterial small subunit ribosomal RNA
Source: RNAcentral
GACGAACGCUGGCGGCGUGCCUAAAACAUGCAAGUCGAACGGGGUCUUCGGACCCAGUGGCGAACGGCGGAGUAAUACAUAAGCAACGUGCCCUGAAGACUGGGAUAUACGAUGGAAACGUCGGGCAAUACCAGAUGUGGUUGGGAGGAGUCAUCUUCAUCCAAUUAAACGGAUUUAUUCGCUUCGGGAGCGGCUUGUGGCCUAUCAGCUAGUUGGUGAGGUAAAGGCUCACCAAGGCGACGACGGGUAGGGGGUCUGAGAGGAUGAUCCCCUCGAGUGGGACUGAGACACGGCCCACACACCUACGGGUGGCAGCAGUUGGGAAUCUUGCACAAUGGGGGAAACCCUGAUGCAGCGACGCCGCGUGGAGGAUGAAGGAUUUCGGUCUGUAAACUCCUUUUACAGGGAAAGACUUAGGACGGUACCCUGUGAAUAAGCUCCGGCUAACUACGUGCCAGCAGCCG